UGAUAUCUGUGUCCUGUGCCCAGAAAUAAUGUUUAACAAUAACUUUAUUUGUCCUCAAAUGGCAACUGGUUGUGCUGCAGUAAAACAGAGACACGUGAUAUAACACACAGCACAUAGAUGCAGAAUAUAAAUACAAAGUAAAGAGAAAUUAUUUUAAUAAUAAAUUAUGAGUUUAACUGUAAAAUCACAAUAAAUCCAAAUCACAUUUAGAUCCUGAGUGGGUAUAUGUCCUCAUGUUAUCAUUUCCUUGCAGAGUUUGGUGAGAGAUGACAGGGGGUAUGAAAUUGUUUUUCUAUCUGUUGGUUUGAAUAAUGGGACUCUAAAAAAAAGGUCUGAAACUCUGCAUGCAAAAGUGAAUGUUGUCAGGCAGGUUUGUUGUGCUGUGGUCAACUCCAAUCUGCAGCCACAUCGAUAGAGAGGUCCAGAAUUAAUUUAGGAAUGGGCCAACUCAAAGGACAAGUAAUUUGAUUACCCCUCUAUUCAACCCUUUCCUUGUCUUCCUUAUCAUCAUGACAUCUGCAGGUGAUGUUUGAGGUUUUAAUUCUGUGGCUCUCCAUUUCAGAUCAUACUGUACGGGUAACUCUACACGCUCCGAUAAGGUCCUGGAACUGGGUCAGACAGAAACAUUAACCCAUUUUGUUUUAUAGAAGCCUUGACACGGCCAGGCUCCCAGGUCAACAGGUCACACACUACACCACCAACAAGUCAUUUUUCAGUUUGCUAAAGAAAUCUUUCAUUGACAGUUUUAUUUGAUUUGGCUAAAUAUUUUACAACACCUAACAGAAGCACACAAUGAAAAAAAAAAACUAAAUAAAUAAAUGCAUAUAUACGUAUAUCUUGGGGCUAAAUUUAAAAACAAUUCUAAAAGAAAAAAGAAAAUGUAAUACUUUUAUUUAAUAAUCAUUACUAAAGUUUGCUCCAACUUAAGGAAACACACACAAACUACCAGCAUUUUUCACCUGACUUACACAAUUGAGGUGGCAAAUAGUGUAGCUUUAAACCUGCUGAAAGCGCAAAUGUAGUGUAAUCAAAACAGUGGCACAUGGGCUUCUGUGUCAUUUGUACAGUGGUGCUUUGGUGGUGCUAAAUGGCUAUGUGUAUCUUAUUGGUAUCUGUAUUUUAUUGGUUCUUCAUUAUUUUUAUUAACCAGGUGUGUAGCAUGUCUUUAUACAAAUGGACGUUGUUGGACGUUGUUACUGAAUAAAACUUAAAUAAAAUUAAAAUGUUUCAAAACGUGGAGGGAGAGUAGUCUGAAUUGGGUUCUGGAGCUAUGCUCCACCUCAUUCAUCGCGCUCAUCCGCCAGCCGCGAGCGAUUCCAAGUCAGUGAGUGUCACAUCCACCGGUGGCGCUGAGAAACUGCGUCACCAAGUUUCUCCUGCGACGACCGCUCACAAUGACCCAUUUUUCUGUUCACUCGCUCACCCAUAUUAGGUGAUACCCUGCAAGGGUAACUAUUGGCUCCUGUCUCAGACCUUCCCCGAGGUGAUUGAUAGAGUGACGAUGCACUCAGCGUGUGACCUCUACAAUGAGCUUCCGCCCACGAAAGAGAAAAUGGAGGUUGCGGGUAUUAAUGGAGUCACAUGUGUACUUGCAAUCUCUGUAAUGGUGCAAAUAAUAAGAAAUUUAAUAUUUUGACAUUAAGGCUACCCGCGACAUAAAGGCCACGCGUGGACAUCGUACAACUUCUCAUUUUCCCCUCGUUUGUAUUUGAGGUAUUUCUAAGUAAAUAAUGACAUGGACGCCCGUGGCAUGCUGGGAAACAGAGCCGUUUUCGUUGGUCUCUUUCUAAUCAUUCAUAUAAACCAGGAGCAUUUUUGCAUUUAACUUGCUCUUACAGUCUUUGCAAAAAUAAAAACCCUCUAAAUGUGGCGACCUUAUACAAAGAAGAUGCUUUAUUUUAACCAUAGUCAACCUUUCUCUCAAUAACAAUGCAAUUAAAUACACUGAAUGUAUUCGAAUAGAAACCUAUUGAAAACUACAGACGGAUUGUGUGGGAACAUUUUGAUUUUUCCUCGUGGUGUUUUUAUAUGAACGCCCCAUAUGUUUGGUGUACAUAAUGUCAGUUUCCUGGAUAAUAAGUAAAUUAAUGCUUUAUGGUACCAGUAACGGUAACAUAACAUAAUCAAAAAAUCUCUGACAACAUUUAUAAGGCAACAAGGCAGAUGUUUAAAUUAAAUAAAACAAUUCAACACUUGCUUUCACAACGCCUACCUCCAGAAUCCCGGCAUUUUGUGAUAUUUACUCUACUCUGAAUUUACUCAAAUUACACAGUAGUUCUCAGAUAUGCUCCCUGCUGUGACGACAUUUGACCACUAGAUGGCAGACAAACACAAUCACAUUUUGUUUUCAAUCAUGAUUGGGGUGCUGUGUAGAUACAUCGUUUGUUUUCCACAGGCAGCUGUAAUCUGAACAGCAUAACUCAUCUGAGCAGAAAUGUUUUAUAACACUCCCAGAUCCAGAGGAGAUGUCAUUAACUCAAAACUAAAAGUUCAGUGGGACAGGUGUAAAAUGAACAUGGCCAGAUGUCACAGCUGGUGAGGAAAGAUGUUUGGUCCUCAGCCCACAGGUAAGGUAUUUAUUGUCCUUUCAUAUGAUGGAAUUCAGGCUGAAUCGCCAUUAAACUGCACAGCUUUGUGAACACACGCACACAGACAGUUCUGUAGGCAGCAGUGGACAUCCUGCUUCCUUUGUCUUCUAAUAAGAAGCCAAGGCAAGGUCCUCUUCACAUGGAUAGACAGCGGCAAAGAAAGAGUGGAUGUACAUCUUGUUUGGUUAAAGACAAAAAGGAUUGUUGUGAAAGAAUUGUGGGCUGGUAGACUGUCAAGCUUUCCAGUGAAUCAAAUUUGAAAAUGAAGCAUCUCCAAGGACAGUAUGUAAUAAUUAAUUUUCUGUUCUGUUUAUCUGUUUGUCUCUUUCUGUUUGUGAGGAUUUUUCUCACACCAGUUGCUAACACAUUUAUUUUACCUGUCAAUAUGGCAAAGACAUCAACUUGAAAUUGAUUAUAACCCUGCCAGUGUGAGGAUAUCAAACAUACCAUGUUCUGUCAUCCAGGGUUAUUGCUCCCCAAAAACAACAGCAGCCUAUUUUAAAUUGGGAGAGAGCAAUAUUUCCCAUUUUUUUGACUGCCCUUGGUACACCUCUGGAGGAAGAGGAAAUAGUUUGACCCAAAUCAUCAGUGGUGUCCUUGAAGACACACUCUUAUUAAUAACCUCAGGAAUCUGGAGACCACCUCUACUCCUCUCCACUCCUCCCAUCUCCUACCCCUCCUCUCCGUUGUGAUCUUCCCUGUCCUAACUUUUAUUCCACCUCCUUUUCUGGUCUGUGUGCACCUUCACUUUCACUCGCACGGACCCGCAAGGCCCCCACAGGGCCUCAAAAUCAAUCUCACAGUUCUUAAAAUAUUCAACCUAGUUGUGGAAGAGUGCUUACCAGUAAAAUGUACAGAACUCACUCCUUCCUUUUACUCCUUCCCUGUCUUCCUAAGGACUCAUGUACAUUUCCUUUCAUUUCAGUUUUGGCCUCAGUGGCAUUUUUUUCAUUUGUUUAUUUAAUAUAUGUGAGAGCAGACAUGCAUUUCCCUUUAUUUCUCUUCCCUGAUUUUAGUGUUUACUUUGACGAGAAUUCCUUUAUUUUAUUAUGUUUUAUGUUUUCAUGUUUCAUGGAGGUAACAAAUUAGUGUUUAGGGGGACCUAGAACUAAAUUUCACUGCACUUUUUUUAUUACCCAUUACAUAUUGACCUGUGUCCUUUCACAACAGCUAUGUCAUGAAAAGGAGCCAGACUAUGUGACUAAAAAAUGUGACAAUCAAAAAACUUUAUAAUAAACUUUAACAUACCCUCUAACUACACUUUAAUUACAGUGAAAAUGGGUGAACAAUGGAACACUUUAUAUUACAGCUCAGUAUUUAAUCAUCAUUUUAAAAACAUAAACAUAACUUAUCAAACUAAAAUCUAUUUUAUAGUUACAGCUAUAAAGGCACACCCUUAUUUCCCCAGCAACAACAAUAAAGUUUUUUUUUUACAAAAACAUUAAAACUAUAUUAACAAUAAUAAGUACUCCAAAAUUAAAUGCGUGUGAAAACCUGCCUAUUAACUGAAAAAGGAAGGAAAUAAAGGUUAUUGGCACUCUGUAAUUGGUGACCCCUGUCUCAGUAGGCUGUGACCCCCAGACAGCUGAAGAAAUAUCAUCGAUCACCCAGGAUAAGAAUAGCAUCUGGAAGCUGGCCUAUAGCCAACACUGAUAACGUCUCCUCCUCACCAGUUUGGGUAAUUAACAGAGACAGCAUUCACGGUGAUGCAUCCAGCUGAAACUUCAAACAAUCCCUGUACCUGCCUGUUACAACCUUUAACUAAUGAGUUCUCCUGCCAUUUAAGCUGCCACUAUGAGAAAAAAAAAUUGGAAAACUGUAGCGUGACCCAGGUCUGAUCUAAAAGACACAUUUAAUGAAAUACAUGCUGAUUCCAUUAUGUCUGGUGACGUUUUUUUUCAAACUGCUAUUGAUUUUUAAAGGCAUGCAAAUUUUUCCCAACCCAGUGCUGAAGUCAAGGAGGCAUUGCCCGCCCUACAUUACAACUCAAAUAUAGCGGCACCAAUUAAGGCCAACUCUCCUAUGCUACAUUAAGCAUGUGGGAGAAAUCAUUCUAUAUUGCUGUAUUAUUUAUCUCUCAAUGUCGGACUGUGCAGACAAGUACCUUGUCAGUGGAUGAAAUUAGCUGGAACUUCGGUGAGGUGCAGCAUACUUAAUUUGACUCUGCAUAGAUGUGAACAUGAUUGUACAGAUAACAGAAAUGCAUCUGAUUCACAUUCAUUUUUGCCCUUUAGUGGUAAAAGAAAGGGAUCAGAGGGUUUAGUUUAGCCCUGAUUUGGGGAAUAAAUAAUCAGCCUGUUUAUCUUUUUCUUUAUUCUAUUUCUCUUGCUUUCUCUCACUUCCUUCAUUAUAGCUGUCAGAGGAGGAGAGAAGUAAUUACAACCUGCCUCUGACCCACACAGGCCUGCAGCCCAAUGAGGAGGGCCAGUGGAGGGGCACAAAAAGAGAAGAAGAUGCAGAAAAAAAGUGUAUUAAGAGACAGACUGAGGAAAGAAUGAGAGAUAAAGAGGAAGAAGAGAUAGCGGAGGGGAAGAAAGAAUAGAUAGGAGAGUGACUGAGUGAGGGAUGCUGAUGAAUGACAGAACGAGGCAGAAGAGGGCAGGCGAGAUGAAAGGAUAGGGGGUGAGCAGGAUGGCAGAGGGAGAAAGGGAGGGUAAGCUUCCGACAAAAGGAAGUGGGAGACAAUCCAGUAAAACACAUGGUGAGUGCAUUUGUGUGUGUGUGGGCAUGUAUUCCCGCAUGUUUGUGUCAUAGUUAGCCACUAUGCCCCCUGAUCCUUUUGUGCUCUUCUGUAUCUGCCUUCCCUUGUGUUUCCUGGCGGUCCCCUGUCUGUCUUGUUUGUGUAAGCGUGUGUGUGUAUGUGUCUGUGUUCUGGGCUGGCUUCCAGAUCUCCCGGCUGCGAUUGAUUACCGGCACACCUGAUCAUCAUAAUCAUCAACCACCACCGUUUAUCUACCGGGCUCAUCCAUACUAUCAGCGCCAGAUCGUCUUCGUACCCAAUCUCUGGUCUGCCGGUGAUCACCGCUUCCGUCUGUCUUUGGUUCUCCGGUAUUUCCAUUCAGUGCCAGCAGCCGCUACCUCCCUGUUUCACGACUAUCGGACUCUGGUCCCAGUCUCGACGUGCCUUAACCUGAUCAGCCAAGCCUUCAACCACGCCUGCCAGCCCAGAACCCGCUCCCCUGAUCUCCGCUCGAAGCACCAUCAUCCAGCCCCCGACCCAGUCCGGUCGAGCUCACAGGACGACAACGUACUUCGCCAGACACGCCGCUGUCUCCUAAUCCAUCUGCACAAUAAAACUGUUCAGAACUUGA
This is a long non-coding RNA of Siniperca chuatsi (mandarin fish), 5899 nucleotides long. RefSeq lists it as uncharacterized. Lineage: Eukaryota; Metazoa; Chordata; Actinopteri; Centrarchiformes; Sinipercidae. The transcript has 2 exons. The record is from RefSeq and is a predicted model, not a curated record.